UUUCCGUAGGUGAACCUGCGGAAGGAUCAUUCCUAAUAAAGUGUCUUAUGGCACUUUUUAAAAAUCCAUAUCCACCUUGUGUGCAAUGUUAGAUCUCGUCAAUCUUGCCAAGAUUUUUAUACAUCAACUCAUUCUUUAACUAAUUUGUCUGAAAAAUAUUAUGAAUACUUAAUUCAAAAUACAACUUUCAACAACGGAUCUCUUGGCUCUA
This 211-nucleotide unclassified non-coding RNA is filed under the name plant metagenome. RNAcentral's name for it is "partial contains small subunit ribosomal RNA, internal transcribed spacer 1, and 5.8S ribosomal RNA". The record is from RNAcentral.